This 371-nucleotide ribosomal RNA is filed under the name uncultured bacterium. RNAcentral's name for it is "bacterial SSU rRNA". It matches the Rfam family "Bacterial small subunit ribosomal RNA", at positions 527 to 896 of the family's 1533-position model. The record is from RNAcentral.
GGAGGGUGCAAGCGUUGUUCGGAGUUACUGGGCGUAAAGCGCGUGUAGGCGGCGUCUUAAGUCCGAUGUGAAAGCCCGGGGCUUACCCCCGGAAGUGCAUCGGAUACUGGGAGGCUAGAGUACCGGAGAGGAGGGUGGAAUUCCUGGUGUAACGGUGAAAUGCGUAGAUAUCAGGAGGAACACCGGUGGCGAAGGCGGCCCUCUGGACGGAUACUGACGCUGAGACGCGAAAGCGUGGGGAGCAAACAGGAUUAGAUACCCUGGUAGUCCACGCUGUAAACGAUGGGUACUAGGUGUUCGGGGUAUUGACCCCCUGAGUGCCGUAGCUAACGCAUUAAGUACCCCGCCUGGGGAUUACGGCCGCAAGGUUA